GACGAACGCUGGCGGCGUGCCUAACACAUGCAAGUCGAACGAAGCAUAGCAAUAUGCUUAGUGGCGGACGGGUGAGUAACGCGUGAACAAUCUGCCCUGUACAAAGGAAUAGCCUCGGGAAACCGGGAUUAAAACCGUAUGACACUUUAGUAUCGCAUGAUAAGAAAGUCAAAUCGAAUAGAGGUAUGGGAUGAGUUCGCGUCUGAUUAGCUGGUUGGCGGGGUAACGGCCACCAAGGCGACGAUCAGUAGCCGGCCUGAGAGGGUGAACGGCCACACUGGAACUGAGACACGGUCCAGACUCCUACGGGAGGCAGCAGUGGGGAAUAUUGCACAAUGGAGGGAACUCUGAUGCAGCGACGCCGCGUGAGUGAAGAAGGUCUUCGGAUCGUAAAACUCUGUCCUUGGUGAAGAAAAGGACGGUAGCCAAGGAGGAAGCCCCGGCUAACUACGUG
This 454-nucleotide ribosomal RNA is filed under the name uncultured bacterium. RNAcentral describes it as "bacterial SSU rRNA". It matches the Rfam family "Bacterial small subunit ribosomal RNA", at positions 28 to 507 of the family's 1533-position model. The record is from RNAcentral.